GAUAGUGUGUGUACACGGGCAGCGAGGUGACGCGAAACCGUCUUACUUCGUUGUACAGUAGAGAACGCUCGAACAAGCCGAUCGCUGGUGUAAAACAAGCUGGAGGUGGAGUUGAGAAAGAACACCACAGCCUGAAGCAGCACCUGGAACCUUCUGCUGAUUCAUGCCACCAUAAGAUACGCUCAUUACAAAUGCUGAUGACUAACAGCUGUCAGACUUAGACACAAUCAUCGCCAGGUGUCUCAUCGACGAUAAUUACCAAAACACUGAGCGUUAAUCAAAGGUGAUGGUUUCCUCCGGGUAUUUCGGGUUUCCUCCCGUCGCAUAAAACACUCAACAUGGAUGUACUCAUGUACCUAAAUGUGAAUUUGGGUAUGUUUCAGGACUAGACUUCAUGGUUCUCAAGUGUUUUUACAAGAUCUUAACAAUGUCAAAGCUCAGAGCUGAAAGAGCAAAACUGGUAAAACCGACUGAAAAAAGAAAAAACACGAAAAGCUGGAAUUUCCAUGUGGACUACGAAUAUUUCCAAAUUCAUUCGGUUUUCCGUUCUGAUCUACGAAAAGCUGAUUCGGACCAAAUCCAAAACAUAAACCUUUCUAGUCUUUCAUGUCUGCAAUUGUAAAAUCAACAAAAGGUCUACCGAAUGUACACAUACUCUUGUUUUUGUGUAACAGAGCCGCACCCUUUGGGAAGUCUGUUCUUAGCACACAUGAAAUAAACAUUCCAGAAAGGUGAAUACGAGUCGUUUCAUCGCUCGUCACUGUUGCGCCUUUUUUCCCCCAUCGGUAACAUGCCUGAACCUUGCUCGCCAAUGUGACCUCGAUUCUGAGGUAAAAUUGCAAAUGCGCUGCCAGAGCAGGACAAGAGUGGGAAUUACCAAGUGCCAAGACACUGAGAACUGAUGACUUCAGAAGAAAAACUGGAAAGUAUCUUGAAAAGAACCAAUGGGAAACAGAAGAGAGCAAAACCAUCCAUUUGUUUAUCUCUGUAGUGUUUUGGGAUUCCUGGGUCCAAUCCAAAGACUCACCUUGAAUAAGAAAAUUGGAAAUAUAGUUUCACAUAGCAAAUCUACCUACCGGCAUGUUUUGGGAUAUGAACCUGCAGGAAACCCACAUGGACAUGGCGAGAGCAUGUGAUGAGCUCGGGUACGAACCAGGAGGUUUCAUCAAAUGAAAUUUGAAUAAUCCACAAUUAUGAAAGUUUUUGGAGUGUAUGGAGGUUUUUUCCAGCCCCGAGUCUUUUAUUCUACAUCCAGUUCUACAACACACCCAUCACAGCGAAACAUCUAACUGAUUUGGAACUGCCAUCAACAUCAGCACUACAUGACCAGACACGUCUGCUACUCCGCCAGUCUCUGUCUCUCUGUUUCCUCCAUUAUUAAUGUUUACCAUCUACAACUUCCUUGUGUUUUUUCCUGAAAUACAGACUGAUUCAUAACCAGAUCCCUGUUAGACUUGGAGAAGCUCAGUACACUUACUCAAUAGAGUUCACUCGAACAUUAUAUAUAUAUACUUGUGUAGUGCAUUUACAAAGCGAACAGGAUCAGCUGACACGGAAACUUCUGCAUGUGUAGCUGCCCAAAAUACAGAAGGAGGACGGUUUCUCAUCAACACCUUGGGUGGUUCAAUGAAAUUCCGGAGUAAGAACGGGCGCUUUGAGGAUGGAUUGGACUGUAGGAAUGUCAACAGUCUGCUACAUUGACUCAGGACUUCUUUUCGCUUCUGAUUAUCACCACUGUACCCCAGAACAUCGUAUAUCUGCUAUAAAUAGACAUUCGGUGCAACCCAGAUGAGGAUGAGUCUGGUUCCUCUCAAGGUUUCUCCCUUAUGCCAUCUCGGGGAGUUUUU
Long non-coding RNA from Silurus meridionalis, 1847 nucleotides. RefSeq lists it as uncharacterized. The record is from RefSeq and is a predicted model, not a curated record. NCBI's taxonomy places the organism in Eukaryota, Metazoa, Chordata, Actinopteri, Siluriformes, Siluridae. The transcript is spliced from 4 exons.